UCAGGAAUAUUGGUCAAUGGACGCAAGUCUGACCCAGCCAUGCCGCGUGAAGGAUUAAGGUCCUCUGGAUUGUAAACUUCUUUUAUUUGGGACGAAAAAGGGCCUUUCUAGGUCAACUGACGGUACCAGAUGAAUAAGCACCGGCUAACUCCGUGCCAGCAGCCGCGGUAAUACGGAGGGUGCAAGCGUUAUUCGGAAUCAUUGGACGUAAAGGGUGCGUAGGUUGUACAUUAAGUCUGUUGUUAAAUUUCUCGGCCUAACCGGGAACCUGCAGUGGAAACUAGUGUACUAGAGGAUGGAAGAGAGAAGUGGAAUUCUCGGAGUAGCGGUAAAAUGCGUAGAUCUCGAGAGGAACACCGAUGGCGAAAGCAGCUUCUUGGUCCAAUCCUGACACUGAUGCACGAAAGCGUGGGGAGCAAACAGG
Molecule: ribosomal RNA, 424 nt
Filed under: uncultured bacterium
Lineage: Bacteria
Description: bacterial SSU rRNA
Rfam family: Bacterial small subunit ribosomal RNA
Source: RNAcentral